UUUGAUACUGUUGUUCUUGAGUAUAGUCGGGGGAAGUGGAAUGCGUAAUGUACCGGUGAAAUGCAUAGAUAUUACGCAGAACACCGAUCGCGAAAGCAGCUUCCUAGGCUAUUACUGACACUGAGGCACGAAAGCGUGGGGAGCGAACAGGAUUAGAUACCCUGGUAGUCCACGCCGUAAACGAUGCUCACUCGCUGUUGGCGAUAUAUUGUCAGCAGUUAAGCUAAAGCAUUAAGUGAGCCACCUGGGAAGUACGUCCGCAAGGAUGAAACUCAAAGGAAUUGACGGGGGCCCGCACAACCGGUGGAACAUGUGGUUCAAUUCGAUGAUACGCGAGGAACCUUACCUGGGCUUAAAUGUAGUUUGACUUCCGCCGAAAGGCGGUUUUCCUUCGGGACAAAUUACAAGGUGCUGCACGGCUGUCGUCAGCUCGUGCCGUGAGGUAUCGGGUUAAGUCCCUUAACGAGCGCAACCCCUAUUGUUAGUUACCAACAGGUUAAGCUGGGGACUCUAGCAAAACUGCCAGCGUAAGCUGGAGGAAGGUGGGGAUGACGUCAAGUCAGCAUGGCCCUUAUGUCCAGGGCUACACACGUGUUACAAUGGCCGAUACAAAGGGCAGCCACCACGCGAGUGGGAGCUAAUCCUUAAAAUCGGUCUCAGUUCGGAUCGAAGUCUGCAAUUCGACUUCGUGAAGGUGGAAUCGGUAGUAAUCGCGCAUCAGCAAUGGCGCGGUGAAUACGUUCCCGGGCCUUGUACACACUGCCCGUCAAGCCAUGGAAAUUGGUGUUGCCUGAAGUCCGUAACCAUCCAGGAGC
This 815-nucleotide ribosomal RNA is filed under the name uncultured organism. Its description in RNAcentral is "bacterial SSU rRNA". It matches the Rfam family "Bacterial small subunit ribosomal RNA", at positions 626 to 1453 of the family's 1533-position model. The record is from RNAcentral.